ACUCCCUCUUUCUUCGUGCUUAACACAUGCAAGUCGAACGGAAAGGCCCUGCUUUUGUGGGGUGCUCGAGUGGCGAACGGGUGAGUAACACGUGAGUAACCUGCCCUUGACUUUGGGAUAACUUCAGGAAACUGGGGCUAAUACCGGAUAGGAGCUCCUGCUGCAUGGUGGGGGUUGGAAAGUUUCGGCGGUUGGGGAUGGACUCGCGGCUUAUCAGCUUGUUGGUGGGGUAGUGGCUUACCAAGGCUUUGACGGGUAGCCGGCCUGAGAGGGUGACCGGCCACAUUGGGACUGAGAUACGGCCCAGACUCCUACGGGAGGCAGCAGUGGGGAAUAUUGCACAAUGGGCGGAAGCCUGAUGCAGCAACGCCGCGUGCGGGAUGACGGCCUUCGGGUUGUAAACCGCUUUCGCCUGUGACGAAGCGUGAGUGACGGUAAUGGGUAAAGAAGCACCGGCUAACUACGUG
This 467-nucleotide ribosomal RNA is filed under the name uncultured bacterium. Its description in RNAcentral is "partial 16S ribosomal RNA". It matches the Rfam family "Bacterial small subunit ribosomal RNA", at positions 36 to 507 of the family's 1533-position model. The record is from RNAcentral.